AUAAGUUCUUGGUGAUAACUAGAAACCCAAAUUCCAUUCCUAGUCGAUAAAAGGGGCCUGGAUUGCUGUGAGCAAGACAGCAGAGCAUGGAAAGGGCGAACAAGAGACGAGCGAGCUUUAGAGACUGACAUUGUGAUGAAUUUUCUCUCCCAGCUCUGAGAAGUUUAUCCGGUGGUCGUACAGAAGCCCUACUUGAAACCUUUUGUAAGUCUAAGUGCUUCUGAAAGGCUCUCCUCCAGGGGUGCAGCUCCCUGCCCUCCAGUGGUGUCGUGAAAGAAUGUCAUUCACCCUCCCGUCAACCCUGAGAACAAGAGGCCAUUUCUCAGCGGGUGAAUCAAGCUACCAUGAGUGCCAAGGUGUCAGAGGGACUCAACUUGUCCCUUGCCAGUCACAUGAUCCUUGGCUGAGGCCUCCCCUUUGGAAAGCAGGACAAUGUCGCAUCUGCAUCUCACUCACGGACCCCAGGUGCCAGCUGAGGGUCAGGCGGCAAGGUCACGGCGUUGACAAUAAUCACCAUCCAGUGACAGACAGCCGUGUCUGGCUCGGUGCUAAGCCCUCACACGUGUGAACUCUCUUCAUCUUUGCACCAGCUUGGUGACGAAGGUAUAUUUUAUGCCCACCUCCAAGCCUGUUUCAUAAAUAAAGAUUCAGAGGCUUCGAGAAGGGGAGAGGUGCCCCGAUCGCACCCUAGAAGGAGGCAGGCGGGAGGACCUUCUCCGCGGAACUCAGGUUGGACUCAGACUCACAGAGAUGCCUCAGCUGCCACCUGCCCCCCGCUUGAGCAGAACUUUCGUUCUAGAGAACUUGCUGGCUUCGUAGUAAUCCCUUCCUUUCUGGCUCCUGGGAUCUUGUUCACUGUCUGGUCCUCUUCAAGCCCUGGAACACAGUAGGUGUUCAACAAAUAUUUGCAGAAAGAAUAGUUCUCAUUCAUGUCGCUGUUUGAUCUUCCCCCACAGCCCUGUGAGGGAGCGAAUUAGGAAAUGUGAUUGCUGCCGGUGUUAGUCAUCUCGCUAGCGGGAGGGAUGGAGCGACUUCCUCCUGGUCACACAGCCCAGCCACUGAGCUGGAGCUCCGGGCUCCUGGCUCCCUUCCCAGGCCUUUCCAACCCUGUCAAGACCUGGGCCCCUGCUGUUACAGGACAAAGAUAUUAAUUGGGAGGAGGAAUCCUUUGAGUCAUUACCAGCAAUAAUAAUAAUAAUUACAGUCAUACUCAUUGUAAUCUCUAACUCAUAGAAGCCUCGUAUCAAUAGCACCAAUGAGGCACUGUUAUUAUCCCGGUUUUAUAGUUAGUCCCAGAGAGAUUCAGCACUGCCUCAGCAUCACACAGCUAAGAAGUGGUGGAGCUGGGACUCAGACUCCAUCUGGCUCCAGAGCUCGUAGACCACAUACUCCUAACAUUUUAGAACAAAUUAGCUUCCUCAGCUGAACCCAGCAAGGCUCACAGCACAGCCAGGCUGAGCUUGGGUGAGGGAUGGGGCUGAAUGAAAUGUCCACCCGUUCCCUCCUUCCAUUCAUUCUGACAGUUGGCGAGCCUUCCCUGAGCUCCACCUGCGUGCUCAGCCAAGUGUCUGGCCCCAGGAUGUGGCCCAAAUGGGAAAGGGCUCUCCCUGUCCCAUGCAGCCAUGGGCCUGGCAGGAGAGGCGGAUGUCAUAAUUAUGUGGUUAAUUGUUUCAUUAGAGCAAAGAUGAGACCACCAUGGAGGUUAGGGCUCUGCCAGCCUCUAAUGGGCACGGACCAGGGUUGGGAGCUGGGGAGGCUGCCCCAGGGGGCUGACAGCUCAGCUCAAAGCUGAAGGGUGGGUCUGGGUCAGGUGAGCGGAGUGGGACAGCAUUCCAGGCAGAGGGCACAGCCUGGGCGGCAGCUUGGCUCUGACUAGGACGGAAAGACAGCAGGUGAGGCUGGUGCUGGCAAGGGAGGAGGAAAGGAGUUGAGGGGGAGGGGGGUGCCAGGGACGUGGGCCAGCACCCACCCGCCCAGCGCUUGAGUCCUCCCAUUCAGAAUGAGAGCUCCUAUAAUCGUCCUUAGUUUUGCUCUUAUCCUGAGAGAGCCAGGGGGAAGGGAACGUUCAAAAUUCCCAUUCCUCCCCAGCUAGCUGGGUGUGGAUGGUCCUCCAAUGAGCACUUACUCCACCACGCCAUGCAUUUAUGCAGCUGUUUGCACUCGAUGACGUGCUCGCUGUCCUGUUCGACCCCGACAGCCCCCUGGAGGGAGGAAAGGAGCACAGGUGUCAGGCCCCUGUACAGCAGAGGAAACUAAGGCAGGAGGAGGUGGUUCGCCACCCCAGCAUCCCGCCCCCAGCACACAGUCUGAUGUCCAGGCCUUCCUUUCACGGUUGCCUUUUCUCCUCUGUAAGAUGCACUUAUCAGCACCUGAGUCUCUAGGUUGCUGGGGGUUACAUGACAUAAUCCAGGUAACGAGCUGAGCGGUGGAGGUUCAAGGUCAGUGUCCGGGAAACAGUGGCUGCCAUCAUCAUAACCGUGAUCAUCACUCUUAGGGUUCCUGCACUCGACUUCUUCCUGAGCACCUGCUCUGCUGUGUGCCGGGCUCCAUGCCAGGCGCUGGGAGGCGGGGAGGUGUGGGAUGUGUCCCCUGUUCCUAAGGAACUUACGGUCUAGCGGGGGAGGCAGUUAAUCAGCAACCUGAGGCCAAGAAGGAGCCGGGCUCAGGGCAGGCAUGGCCAGGAAGCCCAGAGGAGAUGGAAUUUGAGCUGCACUGUGACAGCAUCUUGGACCUUGGAAAUGGGAGAGUGGGUGAGGACUCCGGGGACACCUCCAACAGAUAGUGGUGGAUGUCCCCGGGGCUGGAGCGGACAAAGGUGAGGCUGGUGAGUUCGUGAGAGUCACACCCGAAGGGAAUGAAUUGCUGCUCCGUGUCCCAUGGUGAGUGGGUGUGCACAGGGCAUCAGGUGUAAGACCCACUGCCUGGACCACCACGGUCAACGCAGCACUGACAGACGCAAGGCUCAUGGUUUCAAUGAAGCGUUCCACCAAGUGGAGCAGAUCCUUCUCGACAAUAGCAUUUAUUUGGAAUUCUUUUCUAAUUAUACAAGGAAAUUAUGCACAGUGCAGAAAAGAUGGGACGCAAACACAUACACAGCAGGGGAAAAGUGUCAAAGUCAUUUGUGGCUCAGCACGUGGAUAGCCAUCCUUCCCGUCCUUUUAUUCUCUGAAGGGGCCGAUUCCAAUGCUGCGAGAGGAAGCACAGGAGGUGACAGGCCAGAGGAGGUCCAGGACAGCUUUGGGGAGAAGGUGACAUUCAGACUCACCCUUAUAGGAGGGGCAGGGUUUGGAAAGAUCACAGAAAAGAAGAGGGACAACAUGGCUAAGGCACACGGACUGGGGAGAUGGAUAAAGAGCGUCAGCCUCUCGCGUGCACAUCGAGUGUCACCUCGUCUGCUCGUCCCAACACUCCCUGGGGUGGAGACAAGAGCACCCUCAUGGCCAGGGUCCUAGACCCAGGGCCGUGAAGGGGGGAUGCCAGGAAUGGGGGCGGGUUACUGGGGACUGAACCCCACUGAGCUCUGUUGGCCACUCCGGGCCCCUAUCCUUGUGAGGAAGUGGAAGAGCUUAAGGAGCUGGGGCCAUACCAGCCACUGAAGGAAGUGGCAUGAGGGGAACUUCCAUCCGUCUGUCCCCUGCUGCAGCGGCUUUAUCGGGGCCCUGCAGAUCUCUACAAUCGCUGCUGCCCAUCUGAAGCCGGGCUUCUGGGAACAGGGGCCUGCCACCCUCGAGGAGAUAAGGCAGCCCUGGUCAUGUGGCUCGAACUGUUGGUGACCAAGCAGAAGCUGCAGCAAGGCCGAUGGCCGGCUGGAGGGGAGGCCAUGCCAGCUUCUGACCACCUCCCCAGGAAAACAGCAAUAGGAAUGGUAUUUAAAACCCUCCCAGGUAUACCAUGCCUUUUGGUUCACAAAGUGCUUUUACCCCCAUUCUCAGUGCAAAAAGGCAAGGUGGGCCUCAGAGCAGGCCUGGGGUCUAGUCCUCAGGCUACCACUUGCUGGCUCUGUGACCGUGGGCAGCUGACAUCACCUCUCUGAGCCUCAGUUUCCUCAUUCGUCCAAUAAGAGCAGUAACACUCUCUCCUUUUCCGAUCUCCGUGUCUAGCCAGCCUGUUGCCACCUUCCUCCUGGCCCUGUUCCCUGCAGUGGGUACCACCUUCGUCUGCACGCCAGACCCCAGACAUUUGCCAGGCUGGGAGUUGAGUCAGACCUCGUCCACCAACUUGCUGCUGGAGUGGACGGGCCUAGACAGCCAGAGGAUUCUUGUCCUGACUCCCAUCCGGCAGCCAGCACUUGCCAGGCCCAGCCAGGGCUGGAUGAGAGGGAGGGCGGAGAGGAGGGGAGCCCCGAUGGGAAGGCUCCGAUUUUGCCGGCGAAGGCUUUUGUGCUCCGGAAUGCCAGACCAGUGCAGUCGGCUCUGCCAAUGAGGAGACUGGCCUCCAACAAUAAUGUUUUUCCCUGGGUUUUCCAGAAGGCAUCAGCUGCUUUCUAAUUCAAACCAUCAGGAGGAAGCUUACAUGUGCUGAGUCGCAAAACGCCUGUAGAAAUAAAACUGCUCCCCAUGCCAGACAAGAGCUGGGCUGGACAGGGCUCUGGCCAAGGGGCCCCUGAGCCAGAGGCUGUGAGCUCCUCCCAGGGCCCCCUCCAGGCCUGCCCAGGCCCUCAGCUGGCGCCCUUCCCGGGGCACACUUGCCAUCAGUUACUCCACCCACACCCACGAGGGCCUACGGUGUGCCAGAAACUGUGCAAGGUUUUUGGAGUGAGCACUGUAGCUGUUAUUAUAGUUCACAUUUAUUGAGCAUGUGUUGUAUGCCAGCAACUAUGCUAAACACCUUACAUUCACUGUCUCUCAUCCACGUGCUGUGGUUCCAUUCCACAGAAGAGAAUGAUGAGGCUCAGCGAGGCAGAAAGACCCAACAGAAGUGAAGAGUUGGGCUUCCAGCCCUGGGUCUGUCUUCAGGGCUCCGUCACCACGCCUUGCUGCCUGGCAAUGAAAAGGUGUGAAGCUCCCCACUCCACACCUGCUCGGGUGGCUAGAAUCAAAGGCAAGUGAUAACAAGGGUUGGAGAGGAUGCGGAGAAAUGAGAACACUCAUCCGCUGCGAUGGGAGUGUCAAAUGGUGCAGCUACUUUGGAAAACAGUCAGUUCCUCAAACAAUUAAUCAUAGAAUUACCACACGACCCAGUGAUGCCUCUCCUAGGUGUAUACCCAAGGGAAAUGAAAACAUACGUCCACACAAAAACUUGUACUGGAAUGUUCAUAGCAGCGUUAUUCAUAAUAACCAAAAGGUGGAGACAACCCAAAGGGGCAAACAACAGUGGUCUAUCUGUAUGAUGGAAUAUUAUUCAGCCAUUAAAAGAAGAAUGAAGUCUGAUACCUACCACAACAUAGAUGAACCUUGAAAAUGUUAUUCUAAGUGAAAGAAGCCAGUCACAAAAGUCCGCAUAUUCUUUGAUCUCAUUCAUAGAAAUGUCUGGAAUGGGGAAAUCCAUAGAAACGGAAAGGAGAUUAGUGCUCAGGGUUGAGGGUGGCCAAGAGCCAACGAGUAAGGGGUUUCUAUUUUUUUUCUUUUCUUCCCCAAAGCCCCAGUACGUAGUUGUGUAUUCUUGUUGUAAGUCCUUCUAGUUCUUGUAUGUGAGCUGCCACCACAGCAUGGCUGCUGACAGACAAGUGGUGUGGUUCCGCACCCAGGAACCAAACUUUGGCCACUGAAGUGGAGAGCGCUGAACUGUAACCACUGGGCAAUCAGGCCUGGCUCUGGGGUUUCUUUUUGAGGUGAUGAAAAUGUUCUAAAAUCAACUGUGUGAUGGUUGUACAUACCUGUGAAUACACUAAAAAUCGUUUAAAUGGCUGAAUUGUAUGGUGCGUGAAUUCUCUCUCAAUAAAGCUGUUUAAAA
RNAcentral lists this long non-coding RNA (5892 nucleotides) under Equus asinus (donkey). RNAcentral's name for it is "lncRNA (ENSEASG00005024963.1)". The record is from RNAcentral. Lineage: Eukaryota; Metazoa; Chordata; Mammalia; Perissodactyla; Equidae.